UUAGCAUGGGAUAAUGGAAUAGGACGUGUGGUUCUAUUUUGUUGGUUUCUAGGACCGCCGUAAUGAUUAAUAGGGACAGUCGGGGGCAUCAGUAUUCAAUUGUCAGAGGUGAAAUUCUUGGAUUUAUUGAAGACUAACUACUGCGAAAGCAUUUGCCAAGGAUGUUUUCAUUAAUCAGGAACGAAAGUUAGGGGAUCGAAGACGAUCAGAUACCGUCGUAGUCUUAACCAUAAACUAUGCCGAUUAGGGAUCGGACGGCGUUAUUUUUUGACCCGUUCGGCACCUUACGAUAAAUCAAAAUGUUUGGCUGCUGGGAGUAUGU
Molecule: small RNA, 322 nt
Filed under: Chaetomium sp.
Lineage: Eukaryota; Fungi; Ascomycota; Sordariomycetes; Sordariales; Chaetomiaceae
Description: SSU rRNA
Rfam family: Eukaryotic small subunit ribosomal RNA
Source: RNAcentral